This is an unclassified non-coding RNA of Microcebus murinus (gray mouse lemur), 112 nucleotides long. It matches the Rfam family "Y RNA". From Rfam's summary of the family: Y RNAs are components of the Ro ribonucleoprotein particle (Ro RNP), in association with Ro60 and La proteins. The Y RNAs and Ro60 and La proteins are well conserved, but the function of the Ro RNP is not known. The record is from Ensembl. Lineage: Eukaryota; Metazoa; Chordata; Mammalia; Primates; Cheirogaleidae.
AGCUGGUCCGAAGGUAGAGAGUUAUCUCACUUGAUUGUUCACAGUCGGUUACAGAUCGAACUCCUUGUUCUACAAUUUCCCCCUUCCCACUACUGCACUUGACUAGUCUUUU